This 74-nucleotide transfer RNA is filed under the name Nematostella vectensis (starlet sea anemone). Lineage: Eukaryota; Metazoa; Cnidaria; Anthozoa; Actiniaria; Edwardsiidae. The record is from Rfam by way of RNAcentral.
GUCUCUGUGGCGCAAUCGGUUAGCUCGUUCGGCUAUCAACCGAAGGGCUGGUGGUUCAAGCCCACACUCUGACA